GAGAAAUGAUGAACAUACAAUUGGUCCGUGUUGCUGAAUUAGUCGUGACUGAUAAAUUUUAACCUAAUUCUGAUCUC
This is a small nucleolar RNA of Cynara cardunculus var. scolymus (artichoke), 77 nucleotides long. RefSeq annotates it as small nucleolar RNA SNORD18. The transcript has a single exon. The record is from RefSeq and is a predicted model, not a curated record. Lineage: Eukaryota; Viridiplantae; Streptophyta; Magnoliopsida; Asterales; Asteraceae.